Non-coding RNA from Cinara cedri, 754 nucleotides. The record is from the annotation of a GenBank genome assembly. Lineage: Eukaryota; Metazoa; Arthropoda; Insecta; Hemiptera; Aphididae.
UAGACAUAAGUAUUACAGACUUCAGGGUGAAAAACUAGAGCGUGAUUAUUGUUCUCAUGAUUUGAAAAUAGAUGGGAGGUUUUAUGUUGAUGUAAGGGAAUUACUUUAUCUUUAUAACUGCUUUACAUUUAGUGGAGAUAAGAUACUCUUUGUCAGACAAAGAAAUGAUUUAGUAUUGGUAUCAGCUAAAGGGUUAUUGCUGAUGUUAAAUUAUUACCACGUUUAUGAUUAUUGGUAGGAUUUUUCCAUAAGGUUAGAUAAUAGUAUUAUAGAACCAGAAGAAUUUAAAAAAAGAGCUGAUAACUCUAGUUCUCUUAGAUAUUAUCAUCCAUAUAAGGAAGUAUUAAGGAUUUAUCAUAAUCAACCUAUUAAUAAGUACCAGAUUGGUCUAGUGGAUCUAGAAGGUAAGUCUGUAUUAGACUUUAAUAUGAAAAUUGUUAGUGAUAGUUUAGUUAUAUUAUAUAAAAAUGAUACUUUUGUGAUAGUAGAGAAUUGGAAUAAUUACGAACCGGCAAGAGAAAUGAUGUUUGCUUUUAAUGAAAUUAUAGUUUCUAAUGCAAAGUGUUUAGUUUCCCAUUGUGAUCCAAAAGAUAUUAUAAAAGAUUUUCAAAAAGAGAAGAGGAAAGUAGGCGUGAAUAUUGAGAAAUAUUCAAAAAAGCUCAAGGAAGAAAAAACUCUACAACGCAAACGUCGUCAUCACCAUGGAGAUCACAAUAAUCUUCAUCAGAAUCACUUAUCACGCAUACCUCUUGCU